This 255-nucleotide ribosomal RNA is filed under the name uncultured bacterium. RNAcentral describes it as "partial 16S ribosomal RNA". It matches the Rfam family "Bacterial small subunit ribosomal RNA", at positions 524 to 776 of the family's 1533-position model. The record is from RNAcentral.
UACGUAGGGUGCGAGCGUUAAUCGGAAUUACUGGGGCGUAAAGCGUGCGCAGGCGGCGCGUUAAGACAGGUGUGAAAGCCCCCGAGCUUAACUUGGGAAUUGCGCUUGUGACUGGCGUGCUGGAGUGUGGCAGAGGGAGGUGGAAUUCCACGGUGUAGCAGUGAAAUGCGUAGAGAUGUGGAGGAACACCGAUGGCGAAGGCAGCCUCCUGGGCCACACUGACGCUCAUGCACGAAAGCGUGGGGAGCAAACAGG